GAUGAACGCUAGCGACAGGCUUAACACACGCAAGUCGAGGGGCAGCACGGGAGUAGCAAUACAACUGGCGUCGACCGGCGCACGGGUGAGUAACGCGUAUCCAACCUGCCCACCACUUGGGGAUAACCUUGCGAAAGUAAGACUAAUACCCAAUGAUAUCUCUAGAAGACAUCUGAAAGAGAUUAAAGAUUUAUCGGUGAUGGAUGGGGAUGCGUCUGAUUAGCUUGUUGGCGGGGUAACGGCCCACCAAGGCUACGAUCAGUAGGGGUUCUGAGAGGAAGGUCCCCCACAUUGGAACUGAGACACGGUCCAAACUCCUACGGGAGGCAGCAGUGAGGAAUAUUGGUCAAUGGACGAGAGUCUGAACCAGCCAAGUAGCGUGCAGGAUGACGGCCCUAUGGGUUGUAAACUGCUUUUAUAAGGGAAUAAAGUGAGUCUCGUGAGACUUUUUGCAUGUACCUUAUGAAUAAGGACCGGCUAAUUCCGUGCCAGCAGCCGCGGUAA
Molecule: ribosomal RNA, 504 nt
Filed under: uncultured bacterium
Lineage: Bacteria
Description: partial 16S ribosomal RNA
Rfam family: Bacterial small subunit ribosomal RNA
Source: RNAcentral